UUUUGCGAAGUUUGAAUUGUUUUUAAACGGUUUCAAACUUAAUGAUUGGCCAAUCAAAUGAUGCGCUCCAUUUCAUGUUGUUGCACUAGCGCACGUCUGCCUAUUGAACUAGACUUCAUGGGGGAAGUGGGUAUUUUUAACGGCUAUUUUAAUCUGGGUAAUUUCUUCACUUCCCACGAUCUUUCUUCAAACUUUUUAUGAGAUUUUUUCAUAACCUUGUUCCUGUUCAUCCAAAACCUGACUCUGUUUCAGCUUUCAUUUCCCUUCGGAAACCUCUGAUCUUUCGC
This 287-nucleotide long non-coding RNA is filed under the name Prunus persica (peach). RNAcentral describes it as "long non-coding RNA (PPER_LNC000923)". Lineage: Eukaryota; Viridiplantae; Streptophyta; Magnoliopsida; Rosales; Rosaceae. The record is from RNAcentral.